UACGAAGGGGGCUAGCGUUGCUCGGAAUCACUGGGCGUAAAGGGUGCGUAGGCGGGCCUUUAAGUCAGGGGUGAAAUCCUGGAGCUCAACUCCAGAACUGCCUUUGAUACUGAGGAUCUUGAGUCCGGGAGAGGUGAGUGGAACUGCGAGUGUAGAGGUGAAAUUCGUAGAUAUUCGCAAGAACACCAGUGGCGAAGGCGGCUCACUGGCCCGGUACUGACGCUGAGGCACGAAAGCGUGGGGAGCAAACAGG
Molecule: ribosomal RNA, 253 nt
Filed under: uncultured bacterium
Lineage: Bacteria
Description: partial 16S ribosomal RNA
Rfam family: Bacterial small subunit ribosomal RNA
Source: RNAcentral